Molecule: non-coding RNA, 177 nt
Organism: Chelonoidis abingdonii (Abingdon island giant tortoise)
Lineage: Eukaryota; Metazoa; Chordata; Testudines; Testudinidae
Source: RefSeq, a predicted model, not a curated record
AGCAACUGCUGACUGCAGGCUCUGGAAAUCCCCACAUUAAUUAGACAGAGAGAAAUCCUAGAACUAGGGCCAAAUCAUCCAAGCAGCUGGUAGAAGGGGAGCUCCAUGCACUUCCUCAUGAGGUGGGGUUGAUGAAGGAGAACAUCCAAAACCAUAGAAAAAUGGAUUUCUGAAUAA